UGGGGAAUAUUGCACAAUGGAGGGAACUCUGAUGCAGCGACGCCGCGUGAGUGAUGAAGGACUUCGUUUCGUAAAACUCUGUUCUAUGGGAAGAAAAGGACUGUACCAUAGGAGAAAGCUCAGGCUAAAUACGUGCCAGCAGCCGCGGUAAUACGUAUGGAGCGAGCGUUGUCCGGAAUUAUUGGGCGUAAAGGGUGCGCAGGCGGCUUUACAAGUUGGAUGUGAAAUAUUGUGGCUCAACCACAAACGUGCAUCCAAAACUGCAAAGCUUGAGUUAAGGAGAGGUAAGUGGAAUUCCUGGUGUAGCGGUGGAAUGCGUAGAUAUCAGGAGGAAUACCGGUGGCGAAGGCGACUUACUAGACUUAAACAGACGCUCAGGCACGAAAGCGUGGGGAGCAAACAGG
This 404-nucleotide ribosomal RNA is filed under the name Fusobacteriota bacterium. RNAcentral describes it as "Fusobacteria bacterium partial 16S ribosomal RNA". It matches the Rfam family "Bacterial small subunit ribosomal RNA", at positions 355 to 776 of the family's 1533-position model. Lineage: Bacteria; Fusobacteriati; Fusobacteriota. The record is from RNAcentral.